CAGUAGCCGCGGUAAUACGUAGGGUGCAAGCGUUAAUCGGAAUUACUGGGCGUAAAGCGUGCGCAGGCGGUGUUGUAAGACUGAUGUGAAAUCCCCGGGCUCAACCUGGGAACUGCAUUGGUGACUGCAACGCUGGAGUGCGGCAGAGGGGGAUGGAAUUCCGCGUGUAGCAGUGAAAUGCGUAGAUAUGCGGAGGAACACCGAUGGCGAAGGCAAUCCCCUGGGCCUGCACUGACGCUCAUGCACGAAAGCGUGGGGAGCAAACAGGAUUAGAUACCCGGGUAGUCCCUGUCUCUUAUAA
RNAcentral lists this ribosomal RNA (301 nucleotides) under uncultured bacterium. RNAcentral describes it as "partial 16S ribosomal RNA". It matches the Rfam family "Bacterial small subunit ribosomal RNA", at positions 509 to 809 of the family's 1533-position model. The record is from RNAcentral.